Molecule: ribosomal RNA, 492 nt
Filed under: uncultured bacterium
Lineage: Bacteria
Description: partial 16S ribosomal RNA
Rfam family: Bacterial small subunit ribosomal RNA
Source: RNAcentral
AGUGAACGCUGGCGGUAGGCCUAACACAUGCAAGUCGAACGGCAGCACAGUAAGAGCUUGCUCUUACGGGUGGCGAGUGGCGGACGGGUGAGGAAUACAUCGUAAUCUACUUUUUCGUGGGGGAUAACGUAGGGAAACUUACGCUAAUACCGCAUACGACCUACGGGUGAAAGCAGGGGAUCUUCGGACCUUGCUCGAUUGAAUGAGUCGAUGUCGGAUUAGCUAGUUGGCGGGGUAAAGGCCCACCAAGGCGACGAUCCGUAGCUGGUCUGAGAGGAUGAUCAGCCACACUGGAACUGAGACACGGUCCAGACUCCUACGGGAGGCAGCAGUGGGGAAUAUUGGACAAUGGGCGCAAGCCUGACCCAGCAAGCCCGCGUGGGUGAAGAAGGCCUUCGGGUUGUAAAGCCCUUUUGUUGGGAAAGAAAAGCAGCAGGUUAAUACCCCGCUGUUCUGACGGUACCCAAAGAAUAAGCACCGGCUAACUUCGUG